RNAcentral lists this ribosomal RNA (501 nucleotides) under uncultured bacterium. RNAcentral's name for it is "bacterial SSU rRNA". It matches the Rfam family "Bacterial small subunit ribosomal RNA", at positions 355 to 874 of the family's 1533-position model. The record is from RNAcentral.
UGGGGAAUCUUGGACAAUGGGCGCAAGCCUGAUCCAGCCAUGCCGCGUGAGCGAUGAAGGCCUUAGGGUUGUAAAGCUCUUUCACCGGUGAAGAUAAUGACGGUAGCCGGAGAAGAAGCCCCGGCUAACUCCGUGCCAGCAGCCGCGGUAAUACGGAGGGGGCUAGCGUUGUUCGGAAUUACUGGGCGUAAAGAGCUCGUAGGCGGUCCGUUGCGUCUGCCGUGAAAACCCGGAGCUCAACUCCGGGCCUGCGGUGGAUACGGGCGGACUAGAGUCCGGUAGGGGAGACUGGAAUUCCUGGUGUAGCGGUGGAAUGCGCAGAUAUCAGGAGGAACACCGGUGGCGAAGGCGGGUCUCUGGGCCGGAACUGACGCUGAGGAGCGAAAGCGUGGGGAGCGAACAGGAUUAGAUACCCUGGUAGUCCACACCGUAAACGAUGAAUGCCAGUCGUCGGGUAGCAUGCUAUUCGGUGACACACCUAACGGAUUAAGCAUUCCGCCU